RNAcentral lists this ribosomal RNA (305 nucleotides) under uncultured bacterium. RNAcentral describes it as "bacterial SSU rRNA". It matches the Rfam family "Bacterial small subunit ribosomal RNA", at positions 335 to 657 of the family's 1533-position model. The record is from RNAcentral.
UUGCCUACGGGAGGCAGCAGUGGGGAAUAUUGCACAAUGGGGGAAACCCUGAUGCAGCGACGCCGCGUGAGUGAAGAAGUAAUUCGUUAUGUAAAGCUCUAUCAGCAGGGAAGGAAAUGACGGUACCUGAGUAAGAAGCCCCGGCUAACUACGUGCCAGCAGCCGCGGUAAUACGUAGGGAGCAAGCGUUAUCCGGAUUUAUUGGGUGUAAAGGGUGCGUAGACGGGAAAUUAAGUUAGUUGUGAAAUCCCUCGGCUCAACUGAGGAACUGCAACUAAAACUGGUUUUCUUGAGUGUUGGAGAGG